CUGAUCUCAGACCAGAUCACCCGCUGAACUUAAGCAUAUCAGUAAGGGGGAGGAAAAGAAACUAAACAG
Molecule: ribosomal RNA, 69 nt
Filed under: Meloidogyne graminicola
Lineage: Eukaryota; Metazoa; Nematoda; Chromadorea; Rhabditida; Meloidogynidae
Description: partial 28S ribosomal RNA
Source: RNAcentral